Molecule: transfer RNA, 87 nt
Filed under: Aliidongia dinghuensis
Lineage: Bacteria; Pseudomonadati; Pseudomonadota; Alphaproteobacteria; Rhodospirillales; Dongiaceae
Also listed under: 2 other names
Description: tRNA-Leu
Rfam family: tRNA
About the family: Transfer RNA (tRNA) molecules are approximately 80 nucleotides in length. Their secondary structure includes four short double-helical elements and three loops (D, anti-codon, and T loops).
Source: RNAcentral
GCCCAGGUGGCGGAAUUGGUAGACGCGCUGGUUUCAGGUACCAGUGGGGGAAACCUCGUGGAAGUUCGAGUCUUCUCCUGGGCACCA